Brassica rapa (field mustard) is the source of this 1629-nucleotide long non-coding RNA. RefSeq lists it as uncharacterized. NCBI's taxonomy places the organism in Eukaryota, Viridiplantae, Streptophyta, Magnoliopsida, Brassicales, Brassicaceae. The record is from RefSeq and is a predicted model, not a curated record.
CCCUACGGACGGGAAGUUAUAAUAAAAACUAUUUUAUAUGAUUUUAUAUAAAUCUAUGAAGCAUUUAAAAUCAUUAUAGAAAAUUGUAUUACAUACAAACAAAUAAUGAUAACUUUAAAAUAUUCAAUUUAUUUGAGUAGAAUAUCAUAACUUUAAUAAUAUUUUCACAACAAUUUUAUCUUUAUUUUACUAUUCAUUUUGGAGAUUAUAUACUUAUCUAACUAUUAUAUAAUUUAAAAUUAAAAUUAUUUACUUUAUUUCAUUGUUUGUUUUAGUCUAUGGAUUAAAAAUUACAGUCAAUUGGAUUCAGUAGAGUUAUAAAUAAUAAGUGAACUUUCCGUUAAUUUCUAUUUCAUUUAUAUGUUUUUUUAUGAAUUAAAUUAUUUUUAUUUUUAAAGAUAUAUUUUCUGAAAAUUAAUUACACAUGGAAAAGAAAUAACUUAUUCAUUAAUAUUUUAAAAUCUAUCUAAUUACAUUGGAGCGCUCACGUUUAUUUUGUGUAAUGAUUUUUUUGAUGGCCUUCCAACUUUAAUCUCUCAUUGUCUUAUUUUACAUCCAUUCAGUCUUGUUCAAGUAGAUUCUCCGGACUGCUAACUUUUCCCUACAUAACAUGAGAAUAUCGUAUAGACAAAUGGCAUUGAUAUAAAAACUUUGUGUUGAUGUUCGAAAGUGAUGCAUCCCUAAGUUGACACUAUUUUUAUGGUAAUAUUUUUGUAUGUUUUUCACAUACUGAGCUCCUGCUUUCCGAGUGGAAAGGCAUCUCGUCAUUAGAUCAACGUAGCUGAUUAGUGGUGCUCAUGGAUGGUCUGUAACGAAUAGAUACAUAUGUUCUUGUAGACCUAGGGAUCCAGAGCGGUUUUGGAUAAAAUCAAUAAUGAUUGCAUGACAUUUCCAACAUUGAUCUUUGAAAAUUAACCAUAUUUAUAAUCUAUGGAAUAAGUUCAGGAUUUUUCUUCAAAAAUAAAUAAGGUGAGGGUUUUAUUAAUUUUUUAAUUCUUUUUUAGAAGAAAUUAUCUCACACAUAUUGGUCUCGCCCAAAAAUAAUAACCAAAUGUUUUGAUUUUGACCCAUUUAAUGUGUAUUUGAAACCACUUGUAAAGCUCAUUCAGGAUUUUUUAAAAUAAUAACAAUUCCUGGAGAACCAAUGAUCAUAUAUGCAUACUUAGAACUUCUACAUACCAGUUUUAUCUAAAUUCUAAAGUAAAGAUAUUGAGCAUGUACUUUUACAAAAAAAAAUAUUGAGCAUGUUAGUGACAAACUAAAUGCCAUAAUCCGAAACUCAUAUCCAUACUCAUAAGUCAUAACCAUUAUAACACUAAUACAACACGUGGAAGAUCAUGGCAUCAACAUCUAAGCAAGUGGCCUUUGAUUAGAUGAAUUCUCCCGAUGCAGAGAGCACCAUGCUCAGCCGUAAGCUUCACCAGCAAUCAUUUUGAGAGCUUAGUCAUUGCCGAUAUUUGCCCAAAUCACCUCCUUUUUUCUUGGUGAUACAAUCUCUCCGCCGGUAAAAAAUCAGAGCAUAAUCCAAUAAGCAUCUCAAUAACACUCUAAUCAACGGAGAGCGGACUCUUUGUAGGGGGAACACCGAGAGUACUGAAUCCGACCAGAUGAUUAGAAGAAAUCCAACAA